RNAcentral lists this ribosomal RNA (402 nucleotides) under uncultured prokaryote. RNAcentral's name for it is "bacterial SSU rRNA". It matches the Rfam family "Bacterial small subunit ribosomal RNA", at positions 355 to 774 of the family's 1533-position model. The record is from RNAcentral.
UAGGGAAUAUUGGUAAUGGGCGAAAGCCCGAACCAGCAACGCCGCGUGCGCGAUGAAGGCCUUCGGGUUGUAAAGCGCUUUUUAAGGGGAUGAGGAAGGACAGUACUCUUAGAAUAAGCCUCGGCUAACUACGUGCCAGCAGCCGCGGUAAAACGUAGGAGGCGAGCGUUAUCCGGAUUUACUGGGCGUAAAGCGUGUGUAGGCGGUUUGAUAAGUUGGAUGUGAAAGCUCCCGGCUCAACUGGGAGAGGUCGUUCAAAACUAUCAGACUUGAGAGUGGUAGAGGGAGGUGGAAUUCCGGGUGUAGCGGUGGAAUGCGCAGAUAUCCGGAGGAACACCAGUGGCGAAAGCGGCCUCCUGGACCACUCCUGACACUCAGACGCGAAAGCUAGGGUAGCAAACG